GACACUUUGGCGGAGUGGUUAACGCGAUGCCCUGCUAAGGCAUUUCCUUCGGGAGCGCAGGUUCGAAUCCUGCAGGUGUCG
Molecule: transfer RNA, 81 nt
Filed under: Exophiala dermatitidis NIH/UT8656
Lineage: Eukaryota; Fungi; Ascomycota; Eurotiomycetes; Chaetothyriales; Herpotrichiellaceae
Description: tRNA-Ser (GCT) (tRNA-Ser-GCT-1-1)
Rfam family: tRNA
About the family: Transfer RNA (tRNA) molecules are approximately 80 nucleotides in length.
Source: RNAcentral